GAUGCUCAUGAGUUCCUGCUCCUCCUCUUCAUGAAGAUGAAGAUGGAAGGUGAGACACUGCAGGAGAUCUCCACGUCACCCAGCUAUAUCUGCCCCGUCCAGAACUUUGAGUUCAGACUGCAGUGUGUACGCACAUGCACCAGGUAACGCUUGACUUCAUCGAACGUAUUAUUGUUGUCGCAUAAUACUACUAUAGUUCCUCCAUCAUUGAAUGAUGGAAAUCAGAGUCAAUCAAUGUUACGCCAACACUUUUGGCAUCAUGAUCUGGUCUGCUGUGUUCAAAUGGUGAUUUUCUGUUCUCUGCCCGUCUUAAAAGCUGCGGUGACAAGGUCUUCCAGAAGGAGGAGCAGAACCACUUGUCCUUGGACCUCCACCCGUCGUUGAUAGCUGGCCUCCAAUUCUACUUCAAAGUCAGUACACCGUUGUGUUGGUGUGUCCGAUUACGCUGGUCCACUGAUACUCACAGAGCACUUUCCCUCAGCCUUCAGAGUUGGAGUGCACCUGCCGGCAGUGCUCUGGAUGCCAGGCAACAGCGGUUCGGCAUUUCCUCACUCUGCCCAGGUGAGCCAUGAACUUGAGUCUGUUGUCUCCAAUGUUGCCUUGAAGCAGACUUUUCAUACGUACGGGCGCGUGUGUGCAUGCAGCGAUCGGACGAUGAACCGUUUGUGUCCACAGAGUGUUACUCCUUCACAUGAAGCGCUUCCACCACGACGGGGCACGGUUGAGGAAGGUGACCGAUGCUGUCAGCGUUCCUCCAUGGCUGUCUCUGGCCUCCCUCGUUGGAGAGCAGGGUGCUGCAGCUGGGAUAGACCCACUGAGAUCAAGUUAUGGAGAGGGGGAAAUCGCAUCUGGAGCAAAACCAAGUGCAAACAUGGGUAAGAAAAAAGUGAUGGAUUCCUAUCUCAUGCCCAACCGCUUGAGUUUUUCAGUUGUGUACAAAACAGGAUUGUUGGUGUGUUUCUCAGCAGCAGUGGAUCAUCUUGACAGUGCAGGAGACAGGGACAGAGGUCUUCAGGAAGUUCAUGGGGUGAGAGGGGCCAGGGAGAGAGCUGUAGUACACAGUGGGACAGAAUAUGGACAGAUUCAAGUGAUGAUGCAACAGAGAAGCCCCAAGUGUUUUUUACACUGGCACUAUGCCCGUCUUAUUUGAAACUUUUUCCCGGCAUUGGCGUUUUUGCACUUGUAAACAGUUAAUGGGGUUUGUAGCCUACAUUCAGACGCAGUCUACUCAUUCUUGCGUGCGAGUGGCUUAAAUAAAAUUAAAACAUUCCGAGUAUGCAAAUUAUUCUAAAGAUGUCUACGUGCGUAGCCCCGCCUGCUCCAAUGAACAAGAAAGCCGGCUCUUUGAAGGCUUUACACAGGCAGGACAGUGAAACUAACAUCUGCCAAGCAGCGACCGUACCUGCUUGGCAGUGUAAAAAUGCUUAGGGUUAGGGUUAGGUUCUCUGACAAAUGAAUCCUGUUUCUCUACAGAAGGAUCACAGCAACCAGAGCACCUACCGUCUGUCGGGGAUGGUCUCUCACCUCGGGGAGAGCAUCAACACCGGUAACUAAAGCUUUUAUAGUAAAGAAUGUACAUCU
Molecule: long non-coding RNA, 1581 nt
Organism: Gadus morhua (Atlantic cod)
Lineage: Eukaryota; Metazoa; Chordata; Actinopteri; Gadiformes; Gadidae
Source: Ensembl